GAUGAACGCUGGCGGCGUGCUUAACACAUGCAAGUCGAACGGUGAAGGUGGGAGCUUGCUCCUGCUGGAUCAGUGGCGAACGGGUGAGUAACACGUGAGUAACCUGCCCCGGACUCUGGGAUAAGCGUUGGAAACGACGUCUAAUACCGGAUACGAGACGAGAAGGCAUCUUCAUCGUCUGGAAAGAUUUUUUGGUCUGGGAUGGACUCGCGGCCUGUCAGGUUGUUGGUGAGGUAAUGGCUCACCAAGCCUACGACGGGUAGCCGGCCUGAGAGGGUGACCGGCCACACUGGGACUGAGACACGGCCCAGACUCCUACGGGAGGCAGCAGUGGGGAAUAUUGCACAAUGGGCGAAAGCCUGAUGCAGCAACGCCGCGUGAGGGACGACGGCCUUCGGGUUGUAAACCUCUUUUAGUAGGGAAGAAGCGAAAGUGACGGUACCUGCAGAAAAAGCACCGGCUAACUACGUGCCAGCAGCCGCGGUAA
This 487-nucleotide ribosomal RNA is filed under the name uncultured bacterium. Its description in RNAcentral is "partial 16S ribosomal RNA". It matches the Rfam family "Bacterial small subunit ribosomal RNA", at positions 28 to 523 of the family's 1533-position model. The record is from RNAcentral.